CCACACAAACCUUCCUUUUCACAGAAAAGUUGGAGCAGUUUUUUCAUAACAAUUACCACGGGACAUUUCCACACCGAUUGUCGCGCACGAAGAUCUUCGCGGCGGUGUUUUUCGAAGAACAGACAGGUGGUUCCGCGGACCGGAACCGAGACCCGACGGUGCUAUAAGGUGGCAAAAGUUAUAUAUUUACAUGAAGAACCUGAAAUGGAUGGUAAGACCUGUUGCUGAUGAACAAUGAAGGAAAGUUCACAGCGCACAAACCCAGCAGUCACACAACCUUCUUUCUACAGGGAAGAGAAAUCCAUUCCAAAGCCUUUCUAUGACAAUUAUCGCGCACGGAAGAUCCCUUCCGUGGCGGCGGCUGUUUUUCACAUACAAUGGUUUCGCGGACGGAAACCGAGAUCAACACUGCUAUAAGGUAAAGGCUAAGUAUUUACAUGAAGAACCUAAAAAUGGUAGAGACCUGUGAACAAUAACGGGGGAGGCCUGCUGCUAUCGUCUAUGCACACGAAAUACGGGCUUGGAUAGCAGAGAGAAGGGGAGAAGGAAUGAAACAGGCGGUGUAGCUGGGAUGCUUCUGAACUUCCUGAUUGUUGCUGCAUUGCGAUCCUAGGCGUGUGCGCGUCGGCGGACAUACCUGGGAUCCCUGGAUUGACAAAGAAAAAAUGGUGUGUCAGAGACUGCCGAAGUGAAACAUGAGCAGCUAGGAUUUGUUAUAGUUUCUAGUAAUAUAACUGUUUUCACAGUUAGAAAUGUGGCGUGCACUUG
This 768-nucleotide long non-coding RNA is filed under the name Triticum aestivum (bread wheat). RNAcentral's name for it is "long non-coding RNA (TAES_LNC009981)". Lineage: Eukaryota; Viridiplantae; Streptophyta; Magnoliopsida; Poales; Poaceae. The record is from RNAcentral.